RNAcentral lists this ribosomal RNA (253 nucleotides) under uncultured bacterium. RNAcentral describes it as "partial 16S ribosomal RNA". It matches the Rfam family "Bacterial small subunit ribosomal RNA", at positions 524 to 776 of the family's 1533-position model. The record is from RNAcentral.
UACGUAGGGAGCAAGCGUUGUCCGGAAUCAUUGGGCGUAAAGCGCGCGUAGGUGGCCCCGUAAGUCCGCUGUGAAAGUCAAAGGCUCAACCUUUGAAAGCCGGUGGAUACUGUGGGACUAGAGUACGGAAGAGGCGAGUGGAAUUCCUGGUGUAGCGGUGGAAUGCGCAGAUAUCAGGAGGAACACCAAUAGCGAAGGCGACACUCUGGGCCGGUACUGACGCUGAAGAGCGAAAGCGUGGGGAGCAAACAGG